CCUCAAGAUGAGACUUCUCAUCAGCAAUGAGUAAGACCCCUUACAGACGAUGAGGUAGAUAGGUUAUGAGUGGAAGAGCCGCAAGGCUUGGAGCGACAUAAAACUAAUAGGUCGAGGUCUUAACUUA
RNAcentral lists this ribosomal RNA (127 nucleotides) under Dialister invisus. RNAcentral describes it as "partial 23S ribosomal RNA". It matches the Rfam family "Bacterial large subunit ribosomal RNA", at positions 2797 to 2925 of the family's 2925-position model. Lineage: Bacteria; Bacillati; Bacillota; Negativicutes; Veillonellales; Veillonellaceae. The record is from RNAcentral.